CCUACGGGAGGCAGCAGUAGGGAAUCUUCCACAAUGGGCGAAAGCCUGAUCGAGCAACGCCGCGUGGGUGAAGAAGGUCUUCGGAUCGUAAAACCCUGUUGUUAGAGAAGAAAGUGCGUGAGAGUAACUGUUCACGUUUCGACGGUAUCUAACCGGAAAGCCACGGCUAACUACGUGCCAGCAGCCGCGGUAAUACGUAGGUGGCAAGCUUUAUCCGGAUUUAUUGGGAGUAAAGGGAACGCAGGCGGUCUUUUAAGUCUGAUGUGAAAGCCUUCGGCUUAACCGGAGUAGUGCAUUGGAAACUGGGAGACGUGAGUGCAGAAGAGGAGAGUGGAACUCCAUGUGUAGCGGUGAAAUGCGUAGAUAUAUGGAAGAACACCAGUGGCGAAAGUGGCUCUCUGGUCUGGAACUGACGCUGAUGUUCGAAAGCGUGGGUAGCAAACAGGAUUAGAUACCCGUGUAGUC
Molecule: ribosomal RNA, 465 nt
Filed under: uncultured bacterium
Lineage: Bacteria
Description: partial 16S ribosomal RNA
Rfam family: Bacterial small subunit ribosomal RNA
Source: RNAcentral